This 3716-nucleotide long non-coding RNA is filed under the name Olea europaea subsp. europaea. The record is from RNAcentral. Lineage: Eukaryota; Viridiplantae; Streptophyta; Magnoliopsida; Lamiales; Oleaceae.
GGGGUAUUGAUACAAGAUAACUCAUGUAUUAUUCCCUCCUUCUGGAAAAAAUGUGAUAGAACUUGAUUGAAGGAAUCUUUAGCAUUGUCUGAUCUGAAUUUUUUUAUCUUGACCCCAAAUUGAAUUUUUACCAUACUAUGAAAUGUGGAAAAUACUGAACUUACAUCAGACUUAUUCUUUAGGAGAAAAAUCCAUGACACACGAGUACAAUCAUCAAUAAAUGAAACAAACCAACGAGCUCCAGAUAUAGUAGGAACAUUAGAAGGCCCCCAGAUAUCACUAUGGAUGAGUGAAAAAGGAACUGAUGUUAUUUUAUUGCUUACAGGAAAGGAAGCACGUUUGUGCUUUGCAAUUUCACAAAUAUUACAAUGAAGACGUUUCUCAUCAAUUCCUUUAAAUAACAAUGGGAACAUAACUUUAAGGAUGCUAAAUGAGGGAUGUCCUAGACGAAGAUGAUAAAGCCAAAUUUUGUCUUCAUUUGAAGUUAAAAAUUCAGAAAACAGUGAUAAAGAUAAGCUAUUCUUAGUUUCAUUUUGCCUGCUUGAUUCUUCAAGAUAAUAAAGUCCAUCUUUCUCCCUAGCAAGUCCAAUCAUCUUCCCCGUUACCUGGUCCUGAAAAACACAAUUUGAGGGAAAGAAAGUUACAGUACAAUUUAAAUCUUUUGUGAGCCUUUGUAUGGACAAGAGAUCAGUGGAUAAUUUUGGAACAUGAAGAACAUUAACAAGUUUCAAAUUUUGGUUUAUUAAAAUACUUUCUUGGCCCGUAACUGCGAUUAAUAUGCCAUCUGCUGUGGCUAUUUUCUUAUUGCUAGGACAUGGAUUAUAAGAGGUAAAUUUGUGUGAUGAAUGGGUCAUAUGAUCUGUAGCCCCUGAAUCAAUGACCUAGGAAUCUGGAAAAGAGGUUAUGCUUGAGACACUAAGGACACGGGGGAGAGGAUGCUUACCUGAGAGUGCUAAAGAACAAGCACCUGAAGUAGCAGACUUUCCCAAGGACCCCAACAAAUUCCUCAGUUUUUGUAUCUCACUUUGACUGAAGUCACUUUGCUCUUGUGGCAUGUCCUCCUCCCCAGGUUGUGAGUAAGUCAUAUGAGCCUGCCCUCUUUGUUGUCCAUCCUUCAUGGUCCAAUUUUUGUUUGACAAUUUCGGCUUUCCAUGAAGCUUCCAACAUCGUUCUAUCCUGUGCCGAGGCCUUCUACAGUAUGUACACCUUAAUUCAUCUUUGUUUGUUGCUUAAGACAUGUUCAAUUCCUCAUUCAUGCUCACGGUUGGUUGGUUUGGACUGGGUUUUUUAAAACCAGUCAUUUUUGAGACCAUAGCUGACACUUCGACGGCCUGUGGUUCCACCAUUACUCCCCUCCGUCCUUCUUCUGCUCUGAUUACCGCAAUAGUCUCAUUUAAUGAGGGCAAAUCAUCCUUUCCAAGAAUUUGGACUCUGACUGGAUCAAACACCAUAUUUAGUCCUGCAAGGAAAUCAUAAAUCCUGUCAUUUUCUUCCAGUCUUUUCACCAUGGCUGCAUCAUCACUGCAUUUCAGUUUAAUACAUUGAUAAUGGUCCAUUUCUUGACACAGAUUUUUCAUGAGAUUGGCAUAUUCUGUGAUAGUACGUUCUCCUUGCUUGGUGGCUGAAAUUUUAAUCUUGAUUUCAUAUAUCUGAGCAGCAUCAUGAACCUUGGAAUAGGUUUGUCCAACGGCAUCCCAAAUCUCCUUUGCAGUGGUUAGGAACAUACAUGAAUUGCUGAUCUCCGGUAGCAUUGGGUUCCAUAGCCAUGUCAUCACCAUAGAGUCCGCCUCAUCCCAAGCAUCAAAUCCAGGAUUUCCUGCUAUAGGCCCUGCACCAAGCGACUCAACAUGCCUUUCCUUUUCAAGAACGUUCUAACCAGCUGUGACCAUUUUAGGUAAUUCUUUCCAUUCAAUUUAUAUGCUGCUUGCAGAUUCUGUAACUCUCCUAAAGAUGAAGCAGGUUUUGUUUCCACAGUCUGCGUCUCAGAGGAGUUAGUGCUGUCAAUGAUUUCUGCCAUGGCCAUUGUGAAGAUCAAGAAAGAGCUGUGGUUAAAUCAAGAACGAGAGUGGCCAAAGGAAGAACAAAGAACUUAAGAUUUUCAAAAUGAUUUAGAGAGAACGAAAAAAAAUCAGCAAUAAAGGCUGAACAAAAUACUGGGCAAUGAAGGCCAACAAGUGAAAAAACAGAGGGUAAUUCCCAGAAGCUUAAAGCUCUGAUACCAUGUGAAGAAUUGAAGUAUUAUUCUUCUUCGUAAUCAUAAUAAUAAUGCUAUACAAUCAUUGAAUUUAUAUACUUACAGAGAACAAAUAAAAUAGAAAACUAUCCUAACAUAAAUCCCCUUAAUUAAGGGAUUGUGAUAUUCCUUUAAUUAAGGGAUUGUGAUAUCUCCUAAAUUACGGGAUUGUAUACCAUUAAUACAAUAAUUCCCUGAUUUCCUUAUUGGGCAGAUUUUCCCACUUGCAUAAGAAAAGUUAUUUAUUUUGACAGUGAAGGGUCACUUUCAAAUAAAGUUAUUCAUUUUUAGCUUUGACGUACAACUUAUUUUUUACUAGUAAACUUACUCCUAAGUAAUAAUUUAGCUUAGCCGAAUAUGACCUAAUAGAUUUUACUUAUACACCUUAUAUUGAUUGGAUCAACUGGCUUCUUUUGCUCAUAAUUGUCUUCCUUGAUGAGAAAGUAAUCAUCUGCCACUUUCCCCUUGACUAUUGCUUAUAAUCUCUUCGUUGAUGCCCAUUGUCAUUACCUUAUAUUUAUGAUGGAUAAACUGAAUAUUGCCAAUGCAUGAUUUUGUUGUCUAAUAGAUUACUAUGAGAAAAUAUGACUAUCCAUUUAGUCAAGAAUACGUAUAUCUUGAUUUUGUUCGUUCAUUAGUAUAUUGAAGAUGAAAAAUGAGUUGGUGAAAUUCUUGUGUUCUUUAACCUGUAUUGAUAAUUUGUAAAUGACCUCUUUUUAACUGAAUAGUCUUGCGCAAUUCAUUACUUCUUUUGAUUUAGUGUCAAUUUCUCUUCUUGCAGUGGGUUAAGAAUCCUGUGAUGGCUCAGGAGGUGAUUAAGACUGUUGAUGACAUGUUUGUUUGGAAGUUUUCAGCAUGAUUCUUUUCGUGUAUUCGUUCGAUGAGAAAUGCGAGUCCAAUUUGUCCACUUGCUCCACCCCACCAUCAGAAUGAUGAAGGAUUUUUUCUUCUUCUCGUUGUGUUUGAUCUCUUCAAUAUUUGCCUCACUCGUUGUCACCUAUGUUGAAGAAAGGUUUGGCAUUAGAUGAGGAAGAAUAAUUAGCUAAUAUGUUGAUUAUUAACUCUUUGGUCAUAUUUGGUACUAUGUAUCAAUAUGCAUUCGAAGUCUUCAAAUUUUGCAUGGCCUAAACACACAUAUGAUGACAUGUUUGGUGUGCAAAAUUAGAUUAUGGGCUUGUUUGGACCCGAUUUUUUCCUCCAAAAAAUUGAUUUUUUGAUCGUUAUUUCACUAUUCUAGCCAUCAUAUUUGACUUCUUCUCUCACGGGUGGACCCCACUUUUCUUCUAACGGUCAAAAAAUCAAUUCUCAAAAUCACUCCCAAACAGCCUCUAUAUUGGACAGUAUUGGAUAGUCAUUUUUUUUUUUUGAAGUGUCAAAUAGUGUUCAAUUUGUGUCAGGAACAUGUCAUAAGUGGUUUGGUUAGGCGCGACAUUGUAACUAAACUAUUAAAUAUCUUUGACAAGCCUAUUGAAGUGGUUACUUC